This 663-nucleotide ribosomal RNA is filed under the name Clostridioides difficile. RNAcentral describes it as "bacterial LSU rRNA". It matches the Rfam family "Bacterial large subunit ribosomal RNA", at positions 594 to 1263 of the family's 2925-position model. Lineage: Bacteria; Bacillati; Bacillota; Clostridia; Peptostreptococcales; Peptostreptococcaceae. The record is from RNAcentral.
UGACCGCGUACUUUUUGUAGAACGGGCCAACGAGUUACGUUAAGUAGCAAGGUUAAGCACUUAAGGUGCGGAGCCGUAGCGAAAGCGAGUUUUAACUGAGCGUUCAGUUACUUGACGUAGACCCGAAACCGGGCGACCUACCCAUGAGCAGGAUGAAGCGAAAGUAAAAUUUCGUGGAGGUCCGAACCCACGAGCGUUGAAAAGCUCGGGGAUGACUUGUGGGUAGCGGUGAAAUUCCAAUCGAGCCCGGAGAUAGCUGGUUCUCCCCGAAAUAGCUUUAGGGCUAGCCUCAAGGUGAGAGAUACGGAGGUAGAGCACUGAAUGUCCUAGGGGGUAUUGCACCUACCGAAGACUAUCAAACUCCGAAUGCCGUCAUCUUAUACUUGGGAGUCAGACUGUGGGUGAUAAGAUUCAUAGUCGAAAGGGCAACAGCCCAGAUCGUCAGCUAAGGUCCCUAAAUGUAAGUUAAGUGGUAAAGGAUGUGGGAUUGCACAGACAACCAGGAUGUUGGCUUAGAAGCAGCCACUCAUUCAAAGAGUGCGUAAUAGCUCACUGGUCGAGUGAUCCUGCGCCGAAGAUUUCCGGGGCUAAAACUUACUACCGAAGCUACGGCAUCAGUAAUGAUGGGUAGGGGAGCUUCCCAUACGGGUUGAAGCAUGACCG